RNAcentral lists this ribosomal RNA (467 nucleotides) under uncultured bacterium. Its description in RNAcentral is "partial 16S ribosomal RNA". It matches the Rfam family "Bacterial small subunit ribosomal RNA", at positions 28 to 507 of the family's 1533-position model. The record is from RNAcentral.
GAUGAACGCUGGCGGCGUGCUUAACACAUGCAAGUCGACCGGAAAGGCUCCUGCUUGCAGGGGUACUCGAGUGGCGAACGGGUGAGUAACACGUGGGUGAUCUGCCCUGCACUUCGGGAUAAGCCUGGGAAACUGGGUCUAAUACCGGAUAGGACCACAUUUUGGAUGGUGUGGUGGAAAGUUUUUCGGUGUGGGAUGAGCUCGCGGCCUAUCAGCUUGUUGGUGGGGUAAUGGCCCACCAAGGCGUCGACGGGUAGCCGGCCUGAGAGGGUGUACGGCCACAUUGGGACUGAGAUACGGCCCAGACUCCUACGGGAGGCAGCAGUGGGGAAUAUUGCACAAUGGGCGCAAGCCUGAUGCAGCGACGCCGCGUGGGGGAUGACGGCCUUCGGGUUGUAAACUCCUUUCGCUAGGGACGAAGCGUUUUUGUGACGGUACCUGGAGAAGAAGCACCGGCUAACUACGUG